GCUUGCCACCAUCUUGGAAGCAGCCCGCCGCCAUCUUGGGAGCUCUGGGAGCAAGGACCCCAGAAUUGGAGGAAAAUACUGGGCACCUGUCGUCCGGUUCGUCUGUCUGGAGCCAGCUUCCACUUUCAAUUUUCUUGGAGAAACCAAGGGCCGACUAGAGGCAGAAAGCUGUCAUCCCGAACUCCUGACAUUAGCCGGUUGAGAUCAUGGCACAGCCAGAAGUCUCUACAGUCGCCCAUGCGUGUGCCCCUACCUUUCCCUCUGACCCAUACCUCCUGGGUCCCGACCACGACUUUCUUGAAAGUGUAGCCCCAAAAUUCUCCUUACCUCUGAAUCUGCUUCCUCUGAUCCCUGCCUCCUAGGUACUAAUGGUUCAGACUUUCAUUUCCUCUAGCAAGCUGUAUCUCGAAAGGGAUCUAAGGAAGCUCUACGCUGUGUCCUGAGGCAUCUAGACAUAAACCCAGGGAGUCUUAUCCCUGGUGUCCCUCCUGAUUUAGGUAUACAGCUCUCGAUAUGGGCAGUUAUGUGGGACCCGUUCCCCACCACCCUUGCCAGGGCCCCAAGUUUGUAAUGGCUAAGAGAAGAGAAAGAGUGACAGAGGAGAGAGAGAUGGAAGAGAGAAAGAGAGAUGGAAGAGAGAGAGAGAGAGAGAGAUGGAGGAGAGACAGAGGAGAGAGAGACAGAGGAGAGACAGAGGAGAUAGAGAGAGAGAGAUAAAGAGGGAGUCAAAGAGAAAAAGAAAAAGACAGAAAUAGUAAACAAACAAAC
RNAcentral lists this long non-coding RNA (768 nucleotides) under Homo sapiens (human). Its description in RNAcentral is "HSALNT0010249". Lineage: Eukaryota; Metazoa; Chordata; Mammalia; Primates; Hominidae. The record is from RNAcentral.